Molecule: ribosomal RNA, 423 nt
Filed under: Verrucomicrobiota bacterium
Lineage: Bacteria; Pseudomonadati; Verrucomicrobiota
Description: Verrucomicrobia bacterium partial 16S ribosomal RNA
Rfam family: Bacterial small subunit ribosomal RNA
Source: RNAcentral
UGAGGAAUAUUGGUCAAUGGGCGAGAGCCUGAACCAGCCAAGUAGCGUGCAGGAUGACGGCCCUAUGGGUUGUAAACUGCUUUUAUAUGGGAAUAAAGUGAGGGACGUGUCCCUUAUUGCAUGUACCAUACGAAUAAGGACCGGCUAAUUCCGUGCCAGCAGCCGCGGUAAUACGUAGGUCCCGAGCGUUGUCCGGAUUUAUUGGGCGUAAAGCGAGCGCAGGCGGUUAGAAAAGUCUGAAGUGAAAGGCAGUGGCUCAACCAUUGUAGGCUUUGGAAACUGUUUAACUUGAGUGCAGAAGGGGAGAGUGGAAUUCCAUGUGUAGCGGUGAAAUGCGUAGAUAUAUGGAGGAACACCGGUGGCGAAAGCGGCUCUCUGGUCUGUAACUGACGCUGAGGCUCGAAAGCGUGGGGAGCGAACAGG